UACGGGGGGUGCGAGCGUUGUUCGGAAUUACUGGGCGUAAAGGGCGCGUAGGCGGCCGCCUAAGUCAGACGUGAAAUCCCUCGGCUCAACCGGGGAACUGCGUCUGAUACUGGGUGGCUUGAAUCCGGGAGAGGGAUGCGGAAUUCCAGGUGUAGCGGUGAAAUGCGUAGAUAUCAAGAGGAACACCUGCGGCGAAGGCGGGUUGCUGGGCCGACACUGACGCUGAGGCGCGAAAGCUAGGGGAGCGAACGGG
This 253-nucleotide ribosomal RNA is filed under the name uncultured bacterium. RNAcentral describes it as "partial 16S ribosomal RNA". It matches the Rfam family "Bacterial small subunit ribosomal RNA", at positions 524 to 776 of the family's 1533-position model. The record is from RNAcentral.